CCUACGUGGCGCAGCAGUCGAGAAUCAUUCACAAUGGGCGAAACCCUGCUGGCGCGACGCCGCGUGGGGGAAUGAAGGUCUUCGGAUUGUAAACCCCUGUUAUGUGGGAGCAAAUUAACAAGAUUGUACCACAAGAGGAAGAGCCGGCUAACUCUGUGCCAGCAGCCGCGGUAAUACAGAGGUCUCAAGCGUUGUGCGGAAUCACUGGGGGUAAAGCGUGCGUAGGCUGUUUCGUAAGUCGUGUGUGAAAGGCGCGGGCGCAAGCCGCGGACGGCACAUGAUACUGCGAGACUAGAGUUAUGGAGAGGUAAGCGGAAUGCGCGGUGUAGCAGUGAAAUGCGUAGAUAUCGAGAAGAACACUCGUGGCGAAGGCAGGUUCCUGGACAUUAACUGACGCUGAGGCACGAAGGCCAGGGGAGCGAAAGGGAUUAGAUACCCUUGUAGUC
Molecule: ribosomal RNA, 446 nt
Filed under: uncultured bacterium
Lineage: Bacteria
Description: partial 16S ribosomal RNA
Rfam family: Bacterial small subunit ribosomal RNA
Source: RNAcentral